Non-coding RNA from Podarcis lilfordi (Lilford's wall lizard), 102 nucleotides. NCBI's taxonomy places the organism in Eukaryota, Metazoa, Chordata, Lepidosauria, Squamata, Lacertidae. The record is from the annotation of a GenBank genome assembly.
UGUAAGAGCAAUCUGGUUGCCACAUCUAUCACCCUGUUGAUCACCAGGGUUGAUUUGGCUGGUCAGACUGGCAAGGAAUGUGUCUGCCGUCUCCAUCACUGU